UCUUUAUCACAACACAUAAUAAUAAAUAAUAAAUAAUAAUCCAAAUUGUUAACAUCGUAAGUUAAUAAUAUCAAAUUGUUCAAAUACAGCAAAAACCUUUGACAUGUACCUAUUAUGGGCUAAUAUAGAUUAGACGAUGUAUUUAUAUAAUAUCUCAUAAAAGUACCAAAUAAUAUUAUGAUAUUAUGUUGUUACAUACUUCUAUCAAAAUGUUUACAAGAAUUCAAUGUAUCUUAUAGAAGCAAAAAUACAUUGAAAAUGUCGCAUUACAAGAUUUUGAUACGUGUUCAUAGAAUUAUCUAAGUAUAUUUAGCACCUUACCUUUUUAGUGUUAUUGUUGUAUGCACAAUGCACAUUAAGCAACAGUUCACUAAAAAUAAAUAUUUUGCAAUAUUUAUAAUGCGUCAUCUAAAUCAAGAUAGGUAUAACGCACUUUCAAUAACUGAAGUCUGCUCGUCCUUUCAUUUGUUUCUAGGGAGGACAUUAAGACGGUCAAUGAAUCAUCAGCUGAUAUUCUUUCAAUAUUUCUAGACCUGGUGGAAUUUGAUGAUCAAUCUAAAAGAAAAUUGCUUCUUCUCAAAAGAAACAUUGAAAGGCUGUUGAAAAUUAAAAAUAGAAGUUUCUGCUGUCACUGGAAUAUGGAGAACACCCACUGCCACGCCGGAGCAACUAAUCUAAAAAAGGAGCCGACCGACGAAACCAGCGAGACCCAAGACGCCACCCGACCACCCAAGGACUAGAUACGACGACCAGAGCGGCCAAUACGAACGCCUAAUCGUCCUACGCCGCUGCUCGCAUUCAGUACGGAGGUCGAGGACUACGAAGAGUCGCCGAACACACGGUGGAGCCAGCCACGACGAGCGAUCCAAGUUCACGGGAUUCCAAAGACCACUGUCGGACCAGAUUGUCAACGAACCCGUGCUCAGAACUCGUAGAACAAACGCACAAAUCCCCCCAAGCGCGCCUGCAUAGGCCACGCUACCCGUUCGGGAAUACGAACCAACGCCACUUAUUUGAGCGGGCCGGAUGUAUCCACCCGGAUCUUCCUCAACUGUAAAUAACUGUAAAUAACUCAUUCCCCUCAUUGUCAAGGUGGUCUCGACCCCGUGAACCAUACCAUACGGUCACGCGGACGUGAACCAUCAUCCCCAUACCUUAUAUAACAUUAUAUAUAAAAAAUAAAGACACGUUGAUUAC
RNAcentral lists this long non-coding RNA (1197 nucleotides) under Acyrthosiphon pisum (pea aphid). RNAcentral's name for it is "uncharacterized LOC115035011, transcript variant X3". Lineage: Eukaryota; Metazoa; Arthropoda; Insecta; Hemiptera; Aphididae. The record is from RNAcentral.